CUGAAACAUCUAAGUACCCCGAGGAAAAGAAAUCAACCGAGAUUCCCCCAGUAGCGGCGAGCGAACGGGGAGCAGCCCAGAGCCUGAAUCAGUGUGUGUGUUAGUGGAAGCGUCUGGAAAGGCGCGCGAUACAGGGUGACAGCCCCGUACACAAAAAUGCACAUGCUGUGAGCUCGAUGAGUAGGGCGGGACACGUGGUAUCCUGUCUGAAUAUGGGGGGACCAUCCUCCAAGGCUAAAUACUCCUGACUGACCGAUAGUGAACCAGUACCGUGAGGGAAAGGCGAAAAGAACCCCGGCGAGGGGAGUGAAAAAGAACCUGAAACCGUGUACGUACAAGCAGUGGGAGCACAGAGCAAUCUGUGUGACUGCGUACCUUUUGUAUAAUGGGUCAGCGACUUAUAUUCUGUAGCAAGGUUAACCGAAUAGGGGAGCCGAAGGGAAACCGAGUCUUAACUGGGCGUUAAGUUGCAGGGUAUAGACCCGAAACCCGGUGAUCUAGCCAUGGGCAGGUUGAAGGUUGGGUAACACUAACUGGAGGACCGAACCGACUAAUGUUGAAAAAUUAGCGGAUGACUUGUGGCUGGGGGUGAAAGGCCAAUCAAACCGGGAGAUAGCUGGUUCUCCCCGAAAGCUAUUUAGGUAGCGCCUCGUGAAUUCAUCUCCGGGGGUAGAGCACUGUUUCGGCAAGGGGGUCAUCCCGACUUACCAACCCGAUGCAAACUGCGAAUACCGGAGAAUGUUAUCACGGGAGACACACGGCGGGUGCUA
RNAcentral lists this ribosomal RNA (770 nucleotides) under Escherichia coli. RNAcentral's name for it is "partial 23S ribosomal RNA". It matches the Rfam family "Bacterial large subunit ribosomal RNA", at positions 193 to 1000 of the family's 2925-position model. Lineage: Bacteria; Pseudomonadati; Pseudomonadota; Gammaproteobacteria; Enterobacterales; Enterobacteriaceae. The record is from RNAcentral.